This 871-nucleotide ribosomal RNA is filed under the name Biscogniauxia petrensis. RNAcentral describes it as "eukaryotic LSU rRNA". It matches the Rfam family "Eukaryotic large subunit ribosomal RNA", at positions 36 to 932 of the family's 3401-position model. The record is from RNAcentral. Lineage: Eukaryota; Fungi; Ascomycota; Sordariomycetes; Xylariales; Xylariaceae.
UAGCAUAUCAAUAAGCGGAGGAAAAGAAACCAACAGGGAUUGCCCUAGUAACGGCGAGUGAAGCGGCAACAGCUCAAAUUUGAAAUCUGGCUUUCGGGUCCGAAUUGUAAUUUGCAGAGGAUGCUUUUGGCGAGGUGCCUUCCGAGUUCCCUGGAACGGGACGCCUUAGAGGGUGAGAGCCCCGUACGGUUGGACACUAAGCCUCUGUAAAGCUCCUUCGACGAGUCGAGUAGUUUGGGAAUGCUGCUCUAAAUGGGAGGUAAAUUUCUUCUAAAGCUAAAUACCGGCCAGAGACCGAUAGCGCACAAGUAGAGUGAUCGAAAGAUGAAAAGCACUUUGAAAAGAGGGUUAAAUAGCACGUGAAAUUGUUGAAAGGGAAGCGUUUACGGCCAGACCUUUUCCUAGCGGAUCAUCUGGUGUUCUCACCGGUGCACUUCGCUAGGUUUAGGCCAGCAUCGGCUUCUGUAGAGGGAUAAAAGCAGUGGGAAAGUAGCUCUCUCGGGAGUGUUAUAGCCCUAAGCAUAAUACCUUUACGGGGGCCGAGGACCGCGCUUUUGCAAGGAUGCUGGCGUAAUGGUCGUCAACGACCCGUCUUGAAACACGGACCAAGGAGUCGAACAUUUGUGCGAGUGUUUGGGUGUUAAACCCUCACGCGUAAUGAAAGUGAACGGAGGUGAGAGCCCUUUACGGGGUGCAUCAUCGACCGAUCCUGAUGUCUUCGGAUGGAUUUGAGUAGGAGCAUUAAUGUUCGGACCCGAAAGAUGGUGAACUAUGCGUGGAUAGGGUGAAGCCAGAGGAAACUCUGGUGGAGGCUCGCAGCGGUUCUGACGUGCAAAUCGAUCGUCAAAUCUGCGCAUGGGGGCGAAAGACU